GAUGAACGCUGGCGGCGUGCCUAAUACAUGCAAGUCGAGCGAACGGACGAGAAGCUUGCUUCUCUGAUGUUAGCGGCGGACGGGUGAGUAACACGUGGAUAACCUACCUAUAAGACUGGGAUAACUUCGGGAAACCGUAGCAAAUACCGGAUAAUAUUUUGAACCGCAUGGUUCAAAAGUGAAAGACGGUCUUGCUGUCACUUAUAGAUGGAUCCGCGCUGCAUUAGCUAGUUGGUAAGGUAACGGCUUACCAAGGCAACGAUGCAUAGCCGACCUGAGAGGGUGGUCGGCCACACUGUAACUGAGACACGUCCCAGACUCCUACGGGAGGAAGCAGUAGGGAAUCUUCCGCAAUGGGCGAAAGCCUGACGGAGCAACGCCGCGUGAGUGAUGAAGGUCUUAGGCUCGUAAAACUCUGUUAUUAGGGAAGAACAUAUGUGUAAGUAACUGUGCACAUCUUGACGGUACCUAAUCAGAAAGCCACGGCUAACUACGUG
This 497-nucleotide ribosomal RNA is filed under the name uncultured bacterium. RNAcentral's name for it is "partial 16S ribosomal RNA". It matches the Rfam family "Bacterial small subunit ribosomal RNA", at positions 28 to 507 of the family's 1533-position model. The record is from RNAcentral.